RNAcentral lists this ribosomal RNA (323 nucleotides) under uncultured bacterium. Its description in RNAcentral is "bacterial SSU rRNA". It matches the Rfam family "Bacterial small subunit ribosomal RNA", at positions 81 to 422 of the family's 1533-position model. The record is from RNAcentral.
UAGCAAUACGGCAGCGGCAGACGGGAGAGUAACACGUGGGAACGCGCCCUUCGGUUCGGAAUAACUCAGGGAAACUUGGGCUAAUACCGAAUACGCCCUUACGGGGAAAGAUUUAUUGCCGAAGGAACGGCCCGCGUCCGAUUAGCUUGUUGGUGAGGUAACGGCUCACCAAGGCGACGAUCGGUAGCUGGUCUGAGAGGAUGACCAGCCUCACUGGGACUGAGACACGGCCCAGACCCCUACGGGAGGCAGCAGUGGGGAAUAUUGGACAAUGGGCGCAAGCCUGAUCCAGCCAUGCCGCGUGAGUGAUGAAGGCCUUAGGG